UAUUGAUAAGUAAUUAAUACAAUAAAACCCAUUAAUAUUAGUUAUACCAAAUUUUCCUAGGAUCUAACAUUUUUAUUUUACAUUGCACUCACUCUUCCCAUAUUCCUUCUUCUCUUAUUCCUAGGGCUGACAGUUACUAUCUUCCUCCACUAGGAAAAGGGGGAACUACAACAAGGUGAAAGAAGAAAUUACAAGUUGUGAGCAACCUGAGAACACUGCUGGGAGUAUGAUGUUCACAGAGGUGGGAGUUUCUUCCUUUUCUAUCCUGUGCUAUAUUUGGAACUAUAUUUGUUUUUUCUUAGCAUAUGCUGUCUCCUUCUCGCUGCUUCCCUGCUAAAUUCAGUCAGCUGCCUGCCCCAGCUGGCACCACUGAGUGCUGCUCCAAAGGCAGUGACUCUCCAUCUCUGCCAGACCUUUGCUGUUCGUGGGGUUCACAGCUUCAGCUCAUAUACAGUGACACUACAGUCACUUGGCCACUUGGGGAUUGCUGAAACAAGCUGAAACUGUGCCAAGACAAACUCAGACACAUCCUGACACCAUACUCUGUCAGAGACUUACACCUUUAAGAGGGUUAUAAAUGGCUUACGAAGAUUUUUCUACAAUGUGGCAAAUACUAGGCACUCUGUGUGGCAGGGCCGGCAUGAUGGACUACACUGCACCUACAGGAUCUGCAAUCUGCACACCACUGGUGUGGUUCUCCAAGAUGCUGGUGGCAGAGAAACCUCUUCUGUUUAGUUUAGCACUUGUUUAGUGACCACCUUUUCCCAAACACUGAAUAUUGCCAACCUAACUAGAUAAUUAAUGUAGGAAUUAUCUUUUGCCUCCAGCAUUCAACAAACAGCCCCAAAAUGAUGAAAUACUACUGCAUCACUGAUAUUGUUCACUUCUGCUAGUAUGUGAAUAUUUUUUUCCUACAGCCAUUACACCUCACUUAAAUUUCAAAACAAGGCUAAGAACAUUCAUAUUUAUAAACAAAAAGCCAAGUAUACUAGCAGUUCAGGAGUUGUUAGUUUUCUUCAAAUUUACAGAAAAUACACUCUUUUCUACAGUGGGAUAUAUUCUGAUCCUUUCUUUUCAGGAAUUCAGCUAGCAGAAACAAGCAAUGACUCUGUUUUGUGUGUACAUUGCUUUGUUGCUGAGCGAACCAGCCUCCUACAUACAAAGAAUUACAGAAAGUGGCAUUUUCUUAUCUAAGUGCAGAUGGAUACAAGGCAGGUAUCUACAUCCCAGUCAGCCAUUUAAAUUUCUAUUACAACAAACAGAGACCUAGGACUCACUGCAGUGUCCUAACACAGAUGUCAACAGAGGACCAGUAGUAUGAAACCAGUGCCACCAGAGAUGCCCUGAGGCAUCUGCAUGGUGGCAGAUAUAAUCUGCAAGCCUCUGGAUCAGCCUGGAAGCUAGGCAAAAUGCCCAAAGGCAUCUCAGAUAGUAUCAGAUGUCACUGUUCAGGCAACUGAAUCAAGCCCUUAGUCAAUGCAGUCAACAAAAUUUAGCCCUAUCCAUCCCACCAAAUACAGGUGUCUACUUGAGGAAGACAUUGUGUGUUGAAGUGGGUACCAAGUGUGCUGACCACUUCCCUGACAGCAAAAGGAACACAGGGGCUCUCUCACACCUUCAUUAUGCAGCUGAGCUCACCCACAAAUGUUCUACGAUAUUUUGAAAACAUGUAUGUACAUUUAUGGAAGAAGGUACCCAUGAACACCAUAAAACAAAGUGUCUGUUCCUUUCCACACUACAAAUAACACAACUGUUCUUAUCCAUCCCCCAUAAAAAGACCCUUAUGCAUUUCCUUCGAAUUCUGGGCAAAUUGUAAGUUUGUUUUGUUCACAGAGAGAAUUUACAUAUGUCAUUACAUGGAAAUUAUUUGCCAUUCUGUUGUUACAGCAGCUGAUGAUACAGCAAACAAUGCUAUCAAUACAGUACAGCCUGAUGUCAAUAUUCUUUUUUUUUUUUUUUUUUUUUUUAUAAAAAACUCAACUCUGUUUUGGUUAUUACUUAAUUUUAAAGCCACACUUUUAAGUUAAGCUGUUCAUGGUGCUCUUUGUUAAUAUCCAACAGGUUUACAAAAAUAUUCAAAGCUAGUUUCUUUAAAGCACAUUUGAUCAGCCAUGGCAUUUUUCAUUUUUUCAUUUUCAUUUCAUUUUCAUUUCAUUUUUUCAUUGAUUUCAGUGACUGAGAUUUUUCAGUUUUAGAUCAAAAUUUUAAAACUGUUAAGACAGCUACAAAUUUCUGAUAAAAAGGUCAUGAUGUUUAUUUUUUCAUUUUAGAUACCCAAAACCAGAAGCUUUAAUCGCUGUCCCUUUUGAAAAUAUUUGAUUUUAUCUAUACUGACCCUAUUAAUUCACAUCCUGAUAAUAAAUUCCACCAACAGGCUUUUUCUGUCUCAUAAAAUAUAAUCCAAUUGGUGUCCACACAACACAUUUUUUGAAUGAUUACCUCAUUGCCUCAUGACUUUUUUACAGAAUUACAGUAUCCAUCAUUUUAGGUUUCCUGUCUUCUGACCACUAAAUAUUGGUCUAACUGAUUUUCUCAGCUGCAUUGUAUAAUUUUGAAAGAAUAUUAAG
This is a long non-coding RNA of Anas platyrhynchos (mallard), 2567 nucleotides long. RefSeq lists it as uncharacterized. NCBI's taxonomy places the organism in Eukaryota, Metazoa, Chordata, Aves, Anseriformes, Anatidae. The record is from RefSeq and is a predicted model, not a curated record.